This 317-nucleotide ribosomal RNA is filed under the name Dendropsophus minutus (lesser treefrog). Its description in RNAcentral is "partial 12S small subunit ribosomal RNA". The record is from RNAcentral. Lineage: Eukaryota; Metazoa; Chordata; Amphibia; Anura; Hylidae.
GCCGAGUUAAAAGAAGGAUAUUGAUCUUCUUUUACUUCUAAAUCCGCCUUCUGACUAGGAUUUCAUUAUUAUAGUCUUUCGUAUUAUCUAAUUUAGAUAGUGUAGCCCAUCUCUUCCCACUUUAUAUGCUGCACCUUGACCUGACGUAUUGGCGUAGGGGCAUUAGGCUCACUAGUUUGCGCUCACGAGGUAAGCUGACGACGGAGGUAUACAGGCUGAUAAACUAAAAGUGGUGAGGUUAAACGGGGGUUAUCGAUUAUAGGACAGGCUCCUCUAGGUGGAUGUGGGGUACCGUCAAGUCCUUUGGGUUUUAAGCU